Molecule: ribosomal RNA, 844 nt
Filed under: uncultured bacterium
Lineage: Bacteria
Description: bacterial SSU rRNA
Rfam family: Bacterial small subunit ribosomal RNA
Source: RNAcentral
GACGAACGCUGGCGGCGUGCCUAACACAUGCAAGUCGAGCGAGAGACUUCGGUCUCUAGCGGCGGACGGGUGAGUAACACGUGGGUAACCUGCCUCGUAGUGGGGGAUAGCCUUCCGAAAGGAAGAUUAAUACCGCAUAACAUAGUUUAACCGCAUGGUUAGAUUAUCAAAGGAGUAAUCCGCUAUGAGAUGGACCCGCGGCGCAUUAGCUAGUUGGUGAGGUAACGGCUCACCAAGGCGACGAUGCGUAGCCGACCUGAGAGGGUGAUCGGCCACAUUGGAACUGAGAUACGGUCCAAACUCCUACGGGAGGCAGCAGUGGGGAAUAUUGCACAAUGGGCGAAAGCCUGAUGCAGCAACGCCGCGUGAGUGAUGAAGGCCUUCGGGUUGUAAAGCUCUGUCUUUGGGGACGAUAAUGACGGUACCCAAGGAGGAAGCCACGGCUAACUACGUGCCAGCAGCCGCGGUAAUACGUAGGUGGCAAGCGUUGUCCGGAUUUACUGGGCGUAAAGGAUGCGUAGGUGGAUAUUUAAGUCAGAUGUGAAAUACCCGAGCUUAACUUGGGUGCUGCAUUUGAAACUGGAUAUCUAGAGUGCAGGAGAGGUAAGUGGAAUUCCUAGUGUAGCGGUGAAAUGCGUAGAGAUUAGGAAGAACACCAGUGGCGAAGGCGACUUACUGGACUGUAACUGACACUGAGGCAUGAAAGCGUGGGGAGCAAACAGGAUUAGAUACCCUGGUAGUCCACGCCGUAAACGAUGAGUACUAGGUGUAGGGGGUAUCGACUCCCUCUGUGCCGCAGUUAACACAAUAAGUACUCCGCCUGGGAAGUACGGUCGCAAGAUUA